RNAcentral lists this ribosomal RNA (450 nucleotides) under uncultured bacterium. RNAcentral describes it as "partial 16S ribosomal RNA". It matches the Rfam family "Bacterial small subunit ribosomal RNA", at positions 354 to 796 of the family's 1533-position model. The record is from RNAcentral.
GUGGGGAAUCUUCCGCAAUGGACGAAAGUCUGACGGAGCAACGCCGCGUGAGUGAUGAAGGUCUUCGGAUUGUAAAGCUCUGUUAAUCGGGACGAAAGAGCCUAGUGUGAAUAAUGCUAGGAAGUGACGGUACCGGAAUAGAAAGCCACGGCUAACUACGUGCCAGCAGCCGCGGUAAUACGUAGGUGGCAAGCGUUGUCCGGAAUUAUUGGGCGUAAAGCGCGCGCAGGCGGAUCUGCCAGUCUGUCUUAAAAGUUCGGGGCUUAACCCCGUGAUGGGAUGGAAACUACAGGUCUAGAGUAUCGGAGAGGAAAGUGGAAUUCCUAGUGUAGCGGUGAAAUGCGUAGAUAUUAGGAAGAACACCAGUGGCGAAGGCGACUUUCUGGACGAAAACUGACGCUGAGGCGCGAAAGCCAAGGGAGCGAACGGGAUUAGAAACCCGUGUAGUCC